GGGCACGACACCGGAGAGGGAGCCUGAGAAACGGCUACCACANCCAAGGAUGGCAGCAGGCGCGCAAAUUACCCAAUCCCGACACGGGGAGGUAGUGACAAUAAAUAACAAUACGGGGUUCUUUCGGAUCUCGUAAUUGGAAUGAGUACAAUUUAAAUCUCUUAACGAGGAACAAUUGGAGGGCAAGUCUGGUGCCAGCAGCCGCGGUAAUUCCAGCUCCAAUAGCGUAUAUUAAAGUUGUUGCAGUUAAAAAGCUCGUAGUUGAAUUUCGGAAUCAGAUUGUCGGUCGUGCCUCGGUACGCACUGGCAUUAUUGGUUCCUACCUUCUGAAGAACCGCGAUGUCAUUAAUUGGUGUCGUGGGGAAUCAGGACUGUUACUUUGAAAAAAUUAGAGUGUUUAAAGCAGGCGCACGCUUGAAUACAUUAGCAUGGAAUAAUGAAAUAGGACGUUUGAUUCUAUUUUGUUGGUUUCUAGGAUCGACGUAAUGAUUAAUAGGGAUAGUUGGGGGCAUUAGUAUUCAAUUGUCAGAGGUGAAAUUCUUGGAUUUAUUGAAGACUAACUACUGCGAAAGCAUUUGCCAAGGAUGUUUUCAUUAAUCAAGAACGAAAGUUAGGGGAUCGAAGACGAUCAGAUACCGUCGUAGUCUUAACCAUAAACUAUGCCGACUAGGGAUCGGAUGAUGUUAAUUUUUUAAUGACUCAUUCGGCGCCUUACGGGAAACCAAA
Molecule: ribosomal RNA, 726 nt
Filed under: uncultured Glomeromycotina
Lineage: Eukaryota; Fungi; Glomeromycota
Description: SSU rRNA
Rfam family: Eukaryotic small subunit ribosomal RNA
Source: RNAcentral